UCAUGCGUUUCAAGAUGGGCUCUCAACGUUUGCAGGAAAAUCUAGGGCAGGCAGGCACUAUCCUUCUCCAUAGGCCACCUUUCGACGGGAGCUAGCUAGCUAGCAAGGCUAUGCAUCAAAUGCAUCGACUCCAUGGAUAGUUGGCCGGCAGCUCCACUCUGCCAUGGAAAUGGAAUUUGCCUUUUGCCAGAUGCCAGACAUGUGGGCCCAGUCAUGCACACGUGGAGCAGACGUGUCACCUCUCAGGAUCAUUCCCUCCUGCUUAUAGUAAUACUCAAAAUCAGCCACAUAGUCAUAGUAAUAGUCAUAAUGGUCACCGGAUAUACACAACCGUUAAAAUUGGGUAACCCACUGAGUGCAAAAGUGAACCGAAGAACUUAUCUCCACCAAUUAACUUGCACCCAUUCCAGAAUCCAUCAUCCAUCAUCCAAGGAGAAAAGAUAUUCACCUUCCACCAAGCCUUCUUUUACAUGAAUCUGCCCUUACCAUUACUUGCUUGUGUUGAUGGCAGUCUAUUCGACUUAGCUGGAUUCGAAACAUGGGAUAUUUAUAUUUUACACCGUAGAUUCGAACUAAAAAAGGUGAUCAACUAACUAGUAAAAAUUCCUCCAAUGUGGGAUAAAGGAAAAUGGAUUUUCACUUUUAUUAGUUAUUUGCAAAAAAAAGUAUGAUCCUGACUGAAAAAGCGAUUUUUUAAGUUUCCUUGUUAACUAGGAACAUGACCAAUAGUUUCCAGUUAGCUAGGUUAUUUGUGGUAACUGGAUUGUUUCAUCUAAAACUAAUACUCCCUCCGUCCGGAAAUAAUUGUCAUCAAAAUGCUAAAAGAUGGUGUAUCUAGACGUAUUUUAGUUUUAGAUACAUCAUUUUUUAUCCAUUUUGAUGACAAGUAUUUUCGGACGGAGGGAGUACUUUGUAGAGUGCUCGAAUCAAGUUGUGUUGAUUUUUAUACCCACUAUUUCCUUGUUUGUAAGGUUAAUCCAUAGCACCUCAUAAGUAGUCCUCCACCGAGAUAUGUCACUUCUUUUAUACUCUUUAUGUUGCAAGGAAUGUUUCGAAGGCCUUUACAAGAUAUUUUAGCCAUACUACCUCACGUCCAAUACUUAGGAAGCUAACUUCAGAUCUUUCUCAAGUACAAUUGCUUUGUACCGUGUGUUGGUUGUGUACCAUUUCGCCCUAUUUCGGUAGUUUCAAAGCUCGCACUUGGUUAAUUUUGGCCUAAUUUGCAGAAAGAAGUAUCAUGCUCAAUCCUUCAUUGUUAUGCCAAAUAGUUCCGAGUGGUGGUAAAUGACCCAUUUCUUCAACAAUGCACAAGGGCGGUGUGCGGUCAUUCGUCGCACCGACGACAACAUAAAGAUGAUGGAUGCAAGCUUCUCUUCUCUGGGAAACACACGGAAGAUAGAUUCAAGUUUCAAAGAACGAAAAGGAUGAUCCUGUCACAUUUCUCUCUAUUUCGCCUCAUGCACCUUGCUCUUAAGGCUCCUAAGCUUUUUGGACAUUGACGGUAUUUUGUCCUUUUUAUGUAUGCUUUGGUAUUCUAGCUCGCUUUGGUAGUUGAAGGCACUGAAUCCUGUUGUCCUAUGGGAGAAUAUCAGGUCCCGCGCGACCUCUGCAAUCGAUCUAAGAUUCGAUUAUCAACAUCAAUGUU
Triticum dicoccoides is the source of this 1645-nucleotide long non-coding RNA. RefSeq lists it as uncharacterized. The record is from RefSeq and is a predicted model, not a curated record. Lineage: Eukaryota; Viridiplantae; Streptophyta; Magnoliopsida; Poales; Poaceae. The transcript is spliced from 2 exons.